RNAcentral lists this ribosomal RNA (460 nucleotides) under uncultured bacterium. RNAcentral describes it as "partial 16S ribosomal RNA". It matches the Rfam family "Bacterial small subunit ribosomal RNA", at positions 338 to 795 of the family's 1533-position model. The record is from RNAcentral.
CCUACGGGUGGCAGCAGUGAGGAAUAUUGGUCAAUGGACGAGAGUCUGAACCAGCCAAGUAGCGUGAAGGAUGACUGCCCUAUGGGUUGUAAACUUCUUUUAUAUGGGAAUAAAAUGUUCCACGUGUGGGAUUUUGUAUGUACCAUAUGAAUAAGGAUCGGCUAACUCCGUGCCAGCAGCCGCGGUAAUACGGAGGAUCCGAGCGUUAUCCGGAUUUAUUGGGUUUAAAGGGAGCGUAGGUGGAUUGUUAAGUCAGUUGUGAAAGUUUGCGGCUCAACCGUAAAAUUGCAGUUGAAACUGGCAGUCUUGAGUACAGUAGAGGUGGGCGGAAUGCGUGGUGUAGCGGUGAAAUGCUUAGAGAUCACGAAGAACUCCGAUUGCGAAGGCAGUUCACUGGACUGCAACUGACACUGAGGCUCGAAAGUGUGGGUAUCAAACAGGAUUAGAUACCCCAGUAGUC